Molecule: ribosomal RNA, 587 nt
Filed under: Salmonella enterica
Lineage: Bacteria; Pseudomonadati; Pseudomonadota; Gammaproteobacteria; Enterobacterales; Enterobacteriaceae
Description: partial 23S ribosomal RNA
Rfam family: Bacterial large subunit ribosomal RNA
Source: RNAcentral
GGUUAAGCGACUAAGCGUACACGGUGGAUGCCCUGGCAGUCAGAGGCGAUGAAGGGCGUGCUAAUCUGCGAUAAGCGCCGGUAAGGUGAUAUGAACCGUUAUAACCGGCGAUACCCGAAUGGGGAAACCCAGUGUGACUCGUCACACUAUCAUUAACUGAAUCCAUAGGUUAAUGAGGCGAACCGGGGGAACUGAAACAUCUAAGUACCCCGAGGAAAAGAAAUCAACCGAGAUUCCCCCAGUAGCGGCGAGCGAACGGGGAGGAGCCCAGAGCCUGAAUCAGCAUGUGUGUUAGUGGAAGCGUCUGGAAAGGCGCGCGAUACAGGGUGACAGCCCCGUACACAAAAGCGCACAUGCUGUGAGCUCGAUGAGUAGGGCGGGACACGUGGUAUCCUGUCUGAAUAUGGGGGGACCAUCCUCCAAGGCUAAAUACUCCUGACUGACCGAUAGUGAACCAGUACCGUGAGGGAAAGGCGAAAAGAACCCCGGCGAGGGGAGUGAAAAAGAACCUGAAACCGUGUACGUACAAGCAGUGGGAGCACCCUUUGGGGUGUGACUGCGUACCUUUUGUAUAAUGGGUCAGCGAC